RNAcentral lists this ribosomal RNA (254 nucleotides) under uncultured bacterium. Its description in RNAcentral is "partial 16S ribosomal RNA". It matches the Rfam family "Bacterial small subunit ribosomal RNA", at positions 524 to 776 of the family's 1533-position model. The record is from RNAcentral.
UACGAAGGGGGCUAGCGUUGCUCGGAAUCACUGGGCGUAAAGGGUGAGUAGGCGGCCGGCUAAGUCAUAUGUGAAAAUCCAGGGCUCAACCCUGGACCUGCAUAAGAAACUGGCAGGCUUGGAGUGCAGGAGAGGUAAGCGGAAUUCCUAGUGUAGCGGUGAAAUGCGUAGAUAUUAGGAAGAACACCAGUGGCGAAGGCGGCUUACUGGACUGUAACUGACGCUGAGUCACGAAAGCGUGGGGAGCGAACAGG